RNAcentral lists this ribosomal RNA (551 nucleotides) under uncultured bacterium. Its description in RNAcentral is "bacterial SSU rRNA". It matches the Rfam family "Bacterial small subunit ribosomal RNA", at positions 355 to 896 of the family's 1533-position model. The record is from RNAcentral.
UGGGGAAUAUUCGCACAUAUGGGCGCAAGCCUGAUGCAGCCAUGCCGCGUGUGUGAAGAAGGCCUUCGGGUUGUAAAGCACUUUCAGCGGGGAGGAAGGCGAUAAGGUUAAUAACCUUGUUGAUUGACGUUACCCGCAGAAGAAGCACCGGCUAACUCCGUGCCAGCAGCCGCGGUAAUACGGAGGGUGCAAGCGCUAAUCGGAAUUACUGGGCGUAAAGCGCACGCAGGCGGUCUGUCAAGUCGGAUGUGAAAUCCCCGGGCUCAACCUGGGAACUGCAUUCGAAACUGGCAGGCUAGAGUCUUGUAGAGGGGGGUAGAAUUCCAGGUGUAGCGGUGAAAUGCGUAGAGAUCUGGAGGAAUACCGGUGGCGAAGGCGGCCCCCUGGACAAAGACUGACGCUCAGGUGCAAAAGCGUGGGGAGCAAACAGGAUUAGAUACCCUGGUAGUCCACGCCGUAAACGAUGUCGAUUUGGAGGUUGUGCCCUUGAGGCGUGGCUUCCGGAGCUAACGCGUUAAAUCGACCGCCUGGGGAGUACGGCCGCAAGGUUA